UACGAAGGGGGCUAGCGUUGCUCGGAAUCACUGGGCGUAAAGGGUGCGUAGGCGGGUCUUUAAGUCAGGGGUGAAAUCCUGGAGCUCAACUCCAGAACUGCCUUUGAUACUGAGGAUCUUGAGUACGGGAGAGGUGAGUGGAACUGCGAGUGUAGAGGUGAAAUUCGUAGAUAUCCGGAGGAACACCGGUGGCGAAGGCGGCAUCCUGGACCGGCAUUGACGCUGAGGCGCGAAAGCCAGGGGAGCAAACGGG
RNAcentral lists this ribosomal RNA (253 nucleotides) under uncultured bacterium. Its description in RNAcentral is "partial 16S ribosomal RNA". It matches the Rfam family "Bacterial small subunit ribosomal RNA", at positions 524 to 776 of the family's 1533-position model. The record is from RNAcentral.